CGCGACCACGCAGCGGUAGCAGAGGAGCACCUUCCUCCGCCUGCUUCUUCUCCAUCGAGCUCCGACCUCAGCACUGCUGGCCUGGAAAGCGUCAAGAUCCUGCGGGGACUCAGAGAUGGGAGAGGAUGCCGGUAGAAAGCAAGAGCAGCUCGACGAAAGGAAGCAGAAGCUCGCUGAUUCCUAGGGUAUACCUGGCGCGGCUGUUAUCUAAGGCGAGGAAGAGGAGUGGUCACGUUUGGCCCCAUCGCCCCUCUGGCGCUGCCCAUCGGAGGAAGGCCCGCUCCUUCCCCAGGUCUUCUACUAGUGUGGCUAAUCUGACGGCAAGCUAGGUGCGUCGCUGCUCCUCCCGUGACGGCAAGGCGGGCCUUUCAUGAGGAUGUACAGAGGAGAAGAAACGAGGAGAUAUGCUCAUGGGUCUGACCACUUCUUGCCAUGACAGGAAUCUCCAACUUCUUCUUCUUUUCCAUC
This 468-nucleotide long non-coding RNA is filed under the name Hordeum vulgare. Its description in RNAcentral is "long non-coding RNA (HVUL_LNC002953)". Lineage: Eukaryota; Viridiplantae; Streptophyta; Magnoliopsida; Poales; Poaceae. The record is from RNAcentral.